This is a long non-coding RNA of Ziziphus jujuba (common jujube), 801 nucleotides long. RefSeq lists it as uncharacterized. Lineage: Eukaryota; Viridiplantae; Streptophyta; Magnoliopsida; Rosales; Rhamnaceae. The record is from RefSeq and is a predicted model, not a curated record. The transcript is spliced from 2 exons.
CAUACAAACUCGUUCUUGAGGCUUUAGACAAAUAUAUUUUCUUGUUGACCAAGGCACAUGAUUAAAAUGAUUUUCUUUUUUUUGGUUUUUGUUUUUAUUGACUUUGAAGGUUAGCAGCCUCACAAUUUGCGAUUACAAUAUUUAUCCCCAUCCACCAAAUCGCCCUCCUUCAUUUUACUUCUGCCAGACUGGGGUGUUGAUGAAUCAGAUUAGAUAUACAUUAGACAAGUUAAACUAACGUAUUGUGUUAAAAGAAUUUGUCAAAAAUGGCCAGCUUGAAGUUAUCGGUAAACCAUGCACUAUAAAUACUCCUUUUCUAUCAGACAGGCAUUACAAUAAAACAUACAUAAGAAAACAAGCAAAACAGAGAGUGAAUAACUAAAGAGAAGGCAAUUAAGGAUGGCAUCAAUAUGCAAAGGGAAAGAUUCAUGGCCUGAGUUGGUGGGAAAGCAAGGAAAGUUUGCUGAGGAGACAAUUGAGAAGGAGAAUCCCAAUGUUAAUGCUGAGAUUGUGUUGGAAGGCACUGGUGUAACAGAGGAUUUCCGAUGUGAUAGGGUUUGGGUUUGGGUUGAUGGAUAUGGCACUGUCACAAGGGUCCCUGUAAUUGGUUAGAGCAGGUUAAUUACCUCCAUUACUAUUAACAAAUAAAAUUAAAUAAGGAGAAACUAUAUAUAUAUAUAUAUAUACACUCCCUAUGCAAUGAAAUUCUUCUGUGAUUGUAUAUUUGAUUUGGAUAUUAUCAAUAAAAAGUCCAUGUGGCUUAGUUAAUAACACUAAGUUGCAGAGUAAUAUUCUUCUUAC